AUUGAACGCUGGCGGCAUGCUUUACACAUGCAAGUCGAACGGUAACAGGUCUUCGGAUGCUGACGAGUGGCGAACGGGUGAGUAAUGUAUCGGAACGUGCCCAGUGGUGGGGGAUAACUACUCGAAAGAGUGGCUAAUACCGCAUGAGAACUGAGGUUGAAAGCGGGGGACCUUCGGGCCUCGCGCUACUGGAGCGGCCGAUAUCAGAUUAGGUAGUUGGUGGGGUAAAGGCCUACCAAGCCGACGAUCUGUAGCUGGUCUGAGAGGACGAUCAGCCACACUGGGACUGAGACACGGCCCAGACUCCUACGGGAGGCAGCAGUGGGGAAUAUUGGACAAUGGGCGAAAGCCUGAUCCAGCAAUGCCGCGUGAGUGAUGAAGGCCUUAGGGUUGUAAAGCUCUUUUACCUAGGGAUGAUAAUGACAGUACCUGGAGAAUAAGCUCCGGCUAACUCCGUGCCAGCAGCCGCGGUAAAGUGUGACUGUC
RNAcentral lists this ribosomal RNA (486 nucleotides) under uncultured bacterium. Its description in RNAcentral is "bacterial SSU rRNA". It matches the Rfam family "Bacterial small subunit ribosomal RNA", at positions 30 to 535 of the family's 1533-position model. The record is from RNAcentral.